GACGAACGCUGGCGGCGUGCCUAAUACAUGCAAGUUGAGCGCUGAAGGUUGGUACUUGUACCAACUGGAUGAGCAGCGAACGGGUGAGUAACGCGUGGGGAAUCUGCCUUUGAGCGGGGGACAACAUUUGGAAACGAAUGCUAAUACCGCAUAAAAACUUUAAACACAAGUUUUAAGUUUGAAAGAUGCAAUUGCAUCACUCAAAGAUGAUCCCGCGUUGUAUUAGCUAGUUGGUGAGGUAAAGGCUCACCAAGGCGAUGAUACAUAGCCGACCUGAGAGGGUGAUCCGCCACAUUGGGACUGAGACACGGCCCAAACUUCUACGGGAGGCAGCAGUAGGGAAUCUUCGGCAAUGGACGAAAGGCUGACCGAGCAACGCCGCGUGAGGGAAGAAGGGUUUCGGAUCGUAAAACUCUGUUGGUAGAGAAGAACGUUGGUGAGAGUGGAAAGCUCAUCAAGUGACGGUAACUACCCAGAAAGGGACGGCUAACUACGUG
Molecule: ribosomal RNA, 497 nt
Filed under: uncultured bacterium
Lineage: Bacteria
Description: partial 16S ribosomal RNA
Rfam family: Bacterial small subunit ribosomal RNA
Source: RNAcentral